RNAcentral lists this transfer RNA (72 nucleotides) under Camelus bactrianus (Bactrian camel). It matches the Rfam family "tRNA". From Rfam's summary of the family: Transfer RNA (tRNA) molecules are approximately 80 nucleotides in length. Their secondary structure includes four short double-helical elements and three loops (D, anti-codon, and T loops). Further hydrogen bonds mediate the characteristic L-shaped molecular structure. tRNAs have two regions of fundamental functional importance: the anti-codon, which is responsible for specific mRNA codon recognition, and the 3' end, to which the tRNAs corresponding amino acid is attached (by aminoacyl-tRNA synthetases). tRNAs cope with the degeneracy of the genetic code in two manners: having more than one tRNA (with a specific anti-codon) for a particular amino acid; and 'wobble' base-pairing, i.e. permitting non-standard base-pairing at the 3rd anti-codon position. RNAcentral also lists the same sequence under 2 other names. Lineage: Eukaryota; Metazoa; Chordata; Mammalia; Artiodactyla; Camelidae. The record is from Rfam by way of RNAcentral.
AUGGGUAUAGCUCAGUGGUAGAGCACAUGCUUAGCAUGCACAAGGUCCUAGGUUCAAUUCCCAGUACCUUCA